Molecule: long non-coding RNA, 592 nt
Organism: Hippocampus zosterae (dwarf seahorse)
Lineage: Eukaryota; Metazoa; Chordata; Actinopteri; Syngnathiformes; Syngnathidae
Exons: 3
Source: RefSeq, a predicted model, not a curated record
UAUCUCCUGGCCGGGCCUUUUCCCCUUCCCGAAAAAACUUUUGAAAGACGUUUGUUUUUUAUGCGGUAACCUAUGACGUGACCGAGAAGCACGCAUUCACCUGCGUCAAUAGUGACAUACUGUAGACUGAUAUAACAGAGAAUAAUGUAAUUUUUCAAAAUAAAAAAUCUUUCAGAUUCCGAAAUGAAUAAAACGAAAGGAAUGAAAGUUAUUUAUUCUUUCUGUGCGGCCCAGCACCAAAUGAGCCGCGGUUGAGGACCGUUGCGCUAAUUGGCACGCCUUUGUGGAGGCCAUGUUGUCAGGGCCGACGUUCCCAUCAAAGACGACUGACUAACGAAGAAAGAGCAGGCGUUCCCACUCUCAUGCUUUCAGUGAACCAGCUGAUGUGCAGGACUUGCAUAUUGGAAAGAUUCUUCAGGCCGCAUCCCUUUAGCCACGCCCACAGGGAUGAUGCCCUGCUGUCCUCAGACACGACGUACAGUCUGACCUCCUUAAACUUCACCGCAUGCCUGGGGACACUGACGCUCGCUGGUUUUGACCGCUUCCGAACACAAGGCACAACAGCAGCAUGGAACAUCUUUUCUGGAAUGAG